RNAcentral lists this ribosomal RNA (458 nucleotides) under uncultured bacterium. RNAcentral describes it as "partial 16S ribosomal RNA". It matches the Rfam family "Bacterial small subunit ribosomal RNA", at positions 338 to 795 of the family's 1533-position model. The record is from RNAcentral.
CCUACGGGGUGCAGCAGUGAGGAAUAUUGGUCAAUGGGCGAGAGCCUGAACCAGCCAAGUCGCGUGAGGGAGUACUGCCCUAUGGGUUGUAAACCUCUUUUGUCGGGGAGCAAAAGCCGGACGUGUCCGGCUGUGAGAGUACCCGCAGAAAAAGCAUCGGCUAACUCCGUGCCAGCAGCCGCGGUAAUACGGAGGAUGCGAGCGUUAUCCGGAUUUAUUGGGUGUAAAGGGUGCGAAGGCGGAUUUUUAAGUCAGCGGUAAAAUCGUGGGGCUCAACCCAAUCCAGCCGUUGAAACUGGGGAUCUAGAGUGGGCGAGAGGUAUGCGGAAUGCGUGGUGUAGCGGUGAAAUGCAUAGAUAUCACGCAGAACCCCGAUUGCGAAGGCAGCAUACCGGUGCACAACUGACGCUCAGGCACGAAAGCGUGGGUAUCGAACAGGAUUAGAUACCCCUGUAGUC